GAGCCUCCUGAAGGCUUCGUGCCUUCGCACCUGAUUGUGGGCGGGGACUCGGGCGUGCACGGCUGGCACAGAGCAGCGAGCAUCGUGAACCUGUGGGCGCACUACUUGACGAGCUGCCU
RNAcentral lists this non-coding RNA (119 nucleotides) under uncultured eukaryote. The record is from RNAcentral.